This is a long non-coding RNA of Clupea harengus (Atlantic herring), 614 nucleotides long. Lineage: Eukaryota; Metazoa; Chordata; Actinopteri; Clupeiformes; Clupeidae. The record is from Ensembl.
AGAUUAUCCGGUUCCAUGUGCUUUUAAUGUUCCAUGUUCCUGUUUAAACGUUCAUAAUACAUAUUCGAUUUGUGCCGCAUGUGAGCAAAAAGUCGGAAUUAGGUCACGUUUACCAGGCGGUGUAAACGAAGCCUAAAGACUGCGUGAUGUGGACAGCUUGCAAGAGGGCCCACCCACAAUAGCAAGGCAGCGAAGAAUCACCUCCCCAUGUGGGCUCCGGCUAGCCCCCGGGCGCUGGCGAACCGGCCACAUCGCCAACAGUCACUUCAGUGGGUCACAUGAGAUUGAUGGGCGCCGUAUCUGCUGUCGUGAUGCCAGAUUCAUGGUCAGGCUGAUCCCCACCCAGACCCAGACACCUCCCCAGACGCCGGAGCCAUCUCUGAGGGAGGAAGCCUGCCGGUCCAGGGGCACACUGACUCUUCUCCUCUCCACUGCAACGCCUCGAUUUCUCUUACCAUUCCGUAAAGGUUCCACAAACCUGGCCAUGAGUCUCACACCAAGGUCUUUGUCUCGCUGUCUCACUCGCUCGCACCAAAAGUUUUCAAUCUUAGAUUUCAUCACGGGAAACAGAAGGAUAACAUUCUUGUGUAAAGCCAGAACUUUAAACAGCUUGC